GGGGAAUUUUCCGCAAUGGGCGAAAGCCUGACGGAGCAAGACCGCGUGGGGGAGGAAGGCUCUAGGGUUGUAAACCCCUUUUCUUUGGGAAGAACAAAAUGACGGUACCAAAGGAAUCAGCCUCGGCUAACUCCGUGCCAGCAGCCGCGGUAAUANCGGAGGAGGCAAGCGUUAUCCGGAAUGAUUGGGCGUAAAGCGUCCGCAGGUGGCAAUGUAAGUCUGCUGUCAAAACCCAGGGCCCAACUCUGGUCAGGCAGUGGAAACUACAUAGCUAGAGUUCGGUAGGGGCAAAGGGAAUUCCCGGUGUAGCGGUGAAAUGCGUAGAGAUCGGGAAGAACAUCGGUGGCGAAAGCGCUUUGCUAGACCGAAACUGACACUCGGGGACGAAAGCUAGGGGAGCGAAUGGGAUUAGAUACCCCAGUAGUC
Molecule: ribosomal RNA, 426 nt
Filed under: uncultured cyanobacterium
Lineage: Bacteria; Bacillati; Cyanobacteriota
Description: bacterial SSU rRNA
Rfam family: Bacterial small subunit ribosomal RNA
Source: RNAcentral